RNAcentral lists this ribosomal RNA (1083 nucleotides) under Salmonella enterica subsp. enterica serovar Kentucky. RNAcentral's name for it is "partial 23S ribosomal RNA". It matches the Rfam family "Bacterial large subunit ribosomal RNA", at positions 566 to 1586 of the family's 2925-position model. Lineage: Bacteria; Pseudomonadati; Pseudomonadota; Gammaproteobacteria; Enterobacterales; Enterobacteriaceae. The record is from RNAcentral.
GGUGUUGAAGGCCCUGCAAAGCAGCAUCGCGGUGGCGGAGCGUCGUUUGCGACGCCCAACACACAAAACAAGCGGUGAGUGCUUUGGGGUGGGGUGACUGCGUACCUUUUGUAUAAUGGGUCAGCGACUUAUAUUCUGUAGCAAGGUUAACCGUAUAGGGGAGCCGAAGGGAAACCGAGUCUUAACUGGGCGUUAAGUUGCAGGGUAUAGACCCGAAACCCGGUGAUCUAGCCAUGGGCAGGUUGAAGGUUGGGUAACACUAACUGGAGGACCGAACCGACUAAUGUUGAAAAAUUAGCGGAUGACUUGUGGCUGGGGGUGAAAGGCCAAUCAAACCGGGAGAUAGCUGGUUCUCCCCGAAAGCUAUUUAGGUAGCGCCUCGUGAACUCAUCUUCGGGGGUAGAGCACUGUUUCGGCUAGGGGGUCAUCCCGACUUACCAACCCGAUGCAAACUGCGAAUACCGAAGAAUGUUAUCACGGGAGACACACGGCGGGUGCUAACGUCCGUCGUGAAGAGGGAAACAACCCAGACCGCCAGCUAAGGUCCCAAAGUCACAGUUAAGUGGGAAACGAUGUGGGAAGGCUCAGACAGCCAGGAUGUUGGCUUAGAAGCAGCCAUCAUUUAAAGAAAGCGUAAUAGCUCACUGGUCGAGUCGGCCUGCGCGGAAGAUGUAACGGGGCUAAACUGUGCACCGAAGCUGCGGCAGCGACGCUUAUGCGUUGUUGGGUAGGGGAGCGUUCUGUAAGCCUGCGAAGGUGUCCUGUGAGGGAUGCUGGAGGUAUCAGAAGUGCGAAUGCUGACAUAAGUAACGAUAAUGCGGGUGAAAAGCCCGCUCGCCGGAAGACCAAGGGUUCCUGUCCAACGUUAAUCGGGGCAGGGUGAGUCGACCCCUAAGGCGAGGCCGAAAGGCGUAGUCGAUGGGAAACGGGUUAAUAUUCCCGUACUUGGUGUUACUGCGAAGGGGGGACGGAGAAGGCUAUGUUGGCCGGGCGACGGUUGUCCCGGUUUAAGCGUGUAGGCUGGUUUUCCAGGCAAAUCCGGAAAAUCAAGGCUGAGGCGUGAUGACGAGGCACUACGGUGCU